Molecule: ribosomal RNA, 649 nt
Filed under: Salmonella enterica
Lineage: Bacteria; Pseudomonadati; Pseudomonadota; Gammaproteobacteria; Enterobacterales; Enterobacteriaceae
Description: bacterial SSU rRNA
Rfam family: Bacterial small subunit ribosomal RNA
Source: RNAcentral
AAAUUGAAGAGUUUGAUCAUGGCUCAGAUUGAACGCUGGCGGCAGGCCUAACACAUGCAAGUCGAACGGUAACAGGAAGCAGCUUGCUGCUUUGCUGACGAGUGGCGGACGGGUGAGUAAUGUCUGGGAAACUGCCUGAUGGAGGGGGAUAACUACUGGAAACGGUGGCUAAUACCGCAUAACGUCGCAAGACCAAAGAGGGGGACCUUCGGGCCUCUUGCCAUCAGAUGUGCCCAGAUGGGAUUAGCUAGUUGGUGAGGUAACGGCUCACCAAGGCGACGAUCCCUAGCUGGUCUGAGAGGAUGACCAGCCACACUGGAACUGAGACACGGUCCAGACUCCUACGGGAGGCAGCAGUGGGGAAUAUUGCACAAUGGGCGCAAGCCUGAUGCAGCCAUGCCGCGUGUAUGAAGAAGGCCUUCGGGUUGUAAAGUACUUUCAGCGGGGAGGAAGGUGUUGUGGUUAAUAACCGCAGCAAUUGACGUUACCCGCAGAAGAAGCACCGGCUAACUCCGUGCCAGCAGCCGCGGUAAUACGGAGGGUGCAAGCGUUAAUCGGAAUUACUGGGCGUAAAGCGCACGCAGGCGGUCUGUCAAGUCGGAUGUGAAAUCCCCGGGCUCAACCUGGGAACUGCAUUCGAAACUGGCAG